This 492-nucleotide ribosomal RNA is filed under the name uncultured bacterium. Its description in RNAcentral is "partial 16S ribosomal RNA". It matches the Rfam family "Bacterial small subunit ribosomal RNA", at positions 29 to 507 of the family's 1533-position model. The record is from RNAcentral.
AGUGAACGCUGGCGGUAGGCCUAACACAUGCGAGUCGAACGGCAGCACAGUAAGAGCUUGCUCUUACGGGUGGCGAGUGGCGGACGGGUGCGGAAUACAUCGGAAUCUACUUUUUCGUGGGGGAUAACGAAGGGAAACGUACGGUAAUACCGCAUACGACCUACGGGUGAAAGCAGGGGCUCUUCGGACCUUGGGCGAUGGAAUGAGCCGAUGUCGGAUUAGCUAGUUGGCGGGGGAAAGGCCCACCAAGGCGACGAUCCGUAGCUGGUCUGCGAGGAUGACCAGCGAUACUGGGACUGAGACACGGUCCAGACUCCGACGGGAGGCCGCAGUAGGGAAUAUUGGACGACGGGCGCAAGCCUGAUCCAGCCAUGCCGCGUGGGUGAAGAAGGCCUUCGGGUGUUGAAGUACAUUUGUUAGGGAAGAAAAGCAGCAUUUUAAUACCCCGCUGCUCUGACGGUACCCAAAGAAUAAGCACCGGCUAACUCCGUG